AAGAAGGUUGUAAUUCAGGAUCCGGCUGACGAGUCUGUUGACAAGUUAGCAGAGAAAACUGAAAGUUUGUCAGUUUCUGAUGGCUUGGAGCCUACCACAUUUUCUGGACUUAAGAAGAAGAAGAAGAAACCAGUAGAGGCCAUCUCCUUGAACGACGACGGUGCAGAUGCCACAGAGGAUUUGGACGGUUAGCA
This is a non-coding RNA of Cucurbita pepo subsp. pepo (vegetable marrow), 194 nucleotides long. The record is from RefSeq and is a predicted model, not a curated record. Lineage: Eukaryota; Viridiplantae; Streptophyta; Magnoliopsida; Cucurbitales; Cucurbitaceae.